This is an RNA transcript of Lynx canadensis (Canada lynx), 838 nucleotides long. It is a transcript of the gene named chromosome D1 C11orf97 homolog, with no coding region annotated. The transcript is spliced from 4 exons. Lineage: Eukaryota; Metazoa; Chordata; Mammalia; Carnivora; Felidae. The record is from RefSeq and is a predicted model, not a curated record.
AUGAGGCGGGAGGAAGCGGUGGCGGUGACCUCGGUGGCGGCGCCGGAGCCGGGCCGCGACGGGGAGCAGCCUCGGCCGCCGGCGGGACUGGGGUGCGGGGCGCGAGGGGAACCCGGCGGCGGCGGACCCCAGGAGUCUUGCAAACAGCGGAAGAAAUUCUUGUAUUCAGAACCACAUAAGCGAAUUAAGGAAGUACUGGAAGAAGAACUUUAUAUUAAAAGAGAUGAAUGCCACAUUAAAAACCCACCUGCAGUGGCCCUGGAAGGGAUCUGGAGCAUCAGAAGGAAUCUCCCUGUGGGAGUCUUGAAGCCAGGACUGCGGAGCAGAAACAGUAUGCUGCCACAAGCCAAGUACUAUUCGAGGCACGGAGGGCUGGGAAGUAACAUCCGGACACUCCUGACUUCUGCGGAAGCCCCUGAGGGCGCCGAUUAGUUCACAGACCAGCGGUGCAUGCUUUAUUUCAAGUUCUCAAUCAGAAUUCAAUCUUCUUUUGGUUUGCUUCUCUCAGGUUGCCUUUAGCUUCGCCGUGUAACCUCAGCGUGGAACUCAAACGGAUAAGAUGAAUACAUUUUUCCAGUGAGAAGAAACUUCCUUCUCCUGAUGCCUGAAAAAACAAGAGCCCAAGCUUGUUUCACAGUUUAAGAUGUGUAAAAAAAAAUGUAUAUUAGUCUGUAAUUCUAAUUAUUGGUAUUAAUUCCCCUCUAUAAAUUAAUCCGAGGCAAUGGAAGACUAUUGGCAAAGUUUGCUAAGCACCUGGAAACAAGGAAGAAGAAUAUUAUAUUUACUUUUAGUUGGCACAUUUGGAAUACAUUGAGUUGCUGAUUUAACUUAUUUUAUU